This is a long non-coding RNA of Polyodon spathula (Mississippi paddlefish), 768 nucleotides long. RefSeq lists it as uncharacterized. Lineage: Eukaryota; Metazoa; Chordata; Actinopteri; Acipenseriformes; Polyodontidae. The record is from RefSeq and is a predicted model, not a curated record. The transcript is spliced from 3 exons.
UUCUUCAAUAGCAUAGUCCAAGGUUACAUGCUAGUGUCAGGCGUUAUGUUUAUGUGACUUUACAGGUAAGUAUAUAUUUUUUAUAAUAACCUUCUCUUCUAUACCCCAUCGAUUGUUUGGACUGACCACCAGACCACCCCAGGAGCACACAGGAACCACACAGACAGUGACACCUAUGGAAGGCAAAACAACUCGGUCUCUCUCGGAGAAUUUAUGUUAUGUAACAUAUUUACCCUUGUGUUAGUUACUGCAAUGAUGUUAUCUGAUGACUUCAUCAAAAGUUCACAGGGUGCCUGUCCAGAUGGGUCCGCUGUAGCACAGUAGGGAGAAACAGUUCCUGUCGAUAACGUUCCCUGUAGAAUCCCCAGUGAAGAUCAGUAACUUUGCACAGCCAAGACUGGAACCUGCACUCCCCUUGUUGACUCUCCCUGCACUCUACCUGCCUAUACCGGGUGAACCACAUGAGGACAGCUACAAUGAGCUGACUUCUUGAGCAGAGUUGGAUUUGAAUCCAGACCUCCAGAGGAGUGAAGGCAUCUCUGGUUAUAUAAAGAGGAUAAAACUGAGAACAGCAACAACUGAACAUAUUGAAAAUGGCAAGGAGGAAUACGGAGAACCCAUUGAAAGGAAUGCCAUUCUAAGGAGCAAAUAUCUUCAGAUUACAUUUUCUUUGUUUGUGUUUAUGCCCCUUACCUAUUUGGGAUGUUUGCUAUCGUUCCUAGUGUUUCUUAUUGUUAUUACCCAAAUACAAUAGUAUGUUACCUGUGA